GAAACGGCUCAGCCGGAG
RNAcentral lists this small nuclear RNA (18 nucleotides) under Arabidopsis thaliana (thale cress). RNAcentral describes it as "snRNA_18780". The record is from RNAcentral. Lineage: Eukaryota; Viridiplantae; Streptophyta; Magnoliopsida; Brassicales; Brassicaceae.